CCUACGGGAGGCUGCAGUGGGGAAUAUUGCACAAUGGGGGAAACCCUGAUGCAGCGACGCCGCGUGAGUGAAGAAGUAUUUCGGUAUGUAAAGCUCUAUCAGCAGGGAAGAAAAUGACGGUACCUGACUACGGAGCCCCGGCUAACUACGUGCCAGCAGCCGCGGUAAUACGUAGGGGGCAAGCGUUAUCCGGAUUUACUGGGUGUAAAGGGAGCGUAGUCGGCGGAACAAGUCAGAAGUGAAAACCCGGGGGUCAACCCUGGGAGUGCCUUUGAAACUGUUUGGCUGGAGUGCAGGAGAGGUAAGCGGAAUGCCCAGUGUAGCGGUGAAAUGCGUAGAUAUUAGGAGGAACACCAGUGGCGAAGGCGGCUUACUGGACCGUAACUGACGUUGAGGCUCGAAAGCGUGGGGAGCAAACAGGAUUAGAUACCCUUGUAGUC
This 440-nucleotide ribosomal RNA is filed under the name uncultured bacterium. RNAcentral's name for it is "partial 16S ribosomal RNA". It matches the Rfam family "Bacterial small subunit ribosomal RNA", at positions 338 to 795 of the family's 1533-position model. The record is from RNAcentral.